Molecule: ribosomal RNA, 346 nt
Filed under: uncultured Verrucomicrobiota bacterium
Lineage: Bacteria; Pseudomonadati; Verrucomicrobiota
Description: bacterial SSU rRNA
Rfam family: Bacterial small subunit ribosomal RNA
Source: RNAcentral
AACGAACGCUGGCGGCGUGGAUAAGACAUGCAAGUCGGACGCUAAUUAGAGUGUAGCAAUAUACUUUAGUUGGAGUGGCGCAAGGGUGCGUAACACGUGGGUAAUCUGCCGUGAAGCCUGGGAUAACUUGCUGAAAGGCGAGCUAAUACCGGAUGUGACUGUUGGGAGGCAACUUCCGACAUUGGAAGCUGGGGACUGUAAAAGGCCUGGCGCUUCACGAUGAGCCCGCGGCCUAUCAGCUAGUUGGAGAGGUAACGGCUCACCAAGGCUAAGACGGGUAGCUGGUCUGAGAGGACGACCAGCCACACUGGAACUGAGACACGGUCCAGACACCUACGGGAGGCUG